RNAcentral lists this unclassified non-coding RNA (283 nucleotides) under Thyrsodium spruceanum. Its description in RNAcentral is "partial external transcribed spacer". The record is from RNAcentral. Lineage: Eukaryota; Viridiplantae; Streptophyta; Magnoliopsida; Sapindales; Anacardiaceae.
AUCGUAUCGUUGCCUUUUUUCGCCUGGUGCCCUUCUGGGUUGUUGGGUGGACGUCAGGCACGCUGCGUGUUCCUUGCAUGCCUUGCAUUUUUGUGGGGCUGUUGAGGUCCACGGAGCUGUUGCUUGUUCUCUUGGAUGCGGAAUGUCUCGCAUGGGCGCGGGGUCUCGACCUUUGCUCGCCCAAGCUAUGCAUUUGUCCCUUGACACGAACGACAGCUGCGGCUGUGUUGAUCCCAUUGUAGCCCAUGUGCUUGAUGGGGCUCAUGCGGUCGUGGUGUCGUGA